CUGUUAUUAAGAAUGGCGGAGGGACUGGCCCUAUGAAGCCUAGCAACAGCUAACUAAUAAGUUAGAAUUGUGCUAAAUCCUGCAGGAAUUUUCCUGGAAGAUAAGAG
RNAcentral lists this non-coding RNA (107 nucleotides) under Clostridium botulinum. Its description in RNAcentral is "SAM-I sequence". It matches the Rfam family "SAM riboswitch aptamer (S box leader)". From Rfam's summary of the family: The SAM riboswitch is found upstream of a number of genes which code for proteins involved in methionine or cysteine biosynthesis in Gram-positive bacteria. The SAM riboswitch acts at the level of transcription termination control. The record is from RNAcentral. Lineage: Bacteria; Bacillati; Bacillota; Clostridia; Eubacteriales; Clostridiaceae.